UACAGGGGGGGCAAGCGUUGUUCGGAAUUACUGGGCGUAAAGGGUUCGUAGGUGGCCAACUAAGUCAUACGUGAAAUCCCUCAGCUUAACUGGGGAACUGCGCCUGAUACUGGUUGGCUUGAGUGCAGGAGAGGAACGCGGAAUUCCAGGUGUAGCGGUGAAAUGCGUAGAUAUCUGGAGGAACACCGGUGGCGAAGGCGGGUCUCUGGGCCGAUACUGACGCUGAGGAGCGAAAGCGUGGGGAGCGAACAGG
This 253-nucleotide ribosomal RNA is filed under the name uncultured bacterium. RNAcentral's name for it is "partial 16S ribosomal RNA". It matches the Rfam family "Bacterial small subunit ribosomal RNA", at positions 524 to 776 of the family's 1533-position model. The record is from RNAcentral.